This 235-nucleotide ribosomal RNA is filed under the name Helicobacter pylori. RNAcentral's name for it is "partial 23S ribosomal RNA". It matches the Rfam family "Bacterial large subunit ribosomal RNA", at positions 1887 to 2119 of the family's 2925-position model. Lineage: Bacteria; Pseudomonadati; Campylobacterota; Epsilonproteobacteria; Campylobacterales; Helicobacteraceae. The record is from RNAcentral.
GCGUCAGUCGCAAGAUGAAGCGUUGAAUUGAAGCCCGAGUAAACGGCAGCCGUGACUAUAACGGUCCUAAGGUAGCGAAAUUCCUUGUCGGUUAAAUACCGACCUGCAUGAAUGGCGUAACGAGAUGGGGGCUGUCUCAACCAGAGAUUCAGUGAAAUUGUAGUGGAGGUGAAAAUUCCUCCUACCCGCGGCAAGACGGAAAGACCCCGUGGACCUUUACUACAACUUAGCACUG